AGAGUUUGAUCCUGGCUCAGGACGAACGCUGGCGGCGUGCUUAACACAUGCAAGUCGAACGGAGAACUUAUUUCGGUAAGUUCUUAGUGGCGAACGGGUGAGUAACGCGUGGGCAACCUGCCCUCCAGUUGGGGACAACAUUCCGAAAGGGAUGCUAAUACCGAAUGUGCUCCCUCCUCCGCAUGGAGGAGGGAGGAAAGAUGGCCUCUGCUUGCUAAGCUAUCGCUGGAAGAUGGGGCCCGCGUCUGAUUAGCUAGUUGGUGGGGUAACGGCUCGACCAAGGCGAUGAUCAGUAGCCGGUCUGAGAGGAUGAACGGCACAUUGGGACUGAGACACGGCCCAAACUCCUACGGGAGCA
Molecule: ribosomal RNA, 358 nt
Filed under: uncultured bacterium
Lineage: Bacteria
Description: bacterial SSU rRNA
Rfam family: Bacterial small subunit ribosomal RNA
Source: RNAcentral